AACGCAUAUUGCGCUCGAAGCCCCGGCUUAGAGCAUGUCUGCCUCAGCGUCGAUGUAUCUCUCACCCCACCUCUCCCCGGAGGCGUGCGGGUGGACCUGGUGGUCCCGGCGAGCUUCGGUUCGGCGGGUACACUGAAGAUGCGAGGCUACUUCAGGACCGUCAUGGGCCGCAUCCAGGUUGGUAGCUCCCGCUCCAUAUUUGGAUGCUGGCUUGGUCUUGGCUUGUGCCUUCAAGCGGGAACCUCUUACAUUUUCGACCUGAGCUCAGGCAAGAACACCCGCUGAACUUAA
This 291-nucleotide unclassified non-coding RNA is filed under the name uncultured fungus. RNAcentral's name for it is "partial contains 5.8S rRNA and ITS2". Lineage: Eukaryota; Fungi. The record is from RNAcentral.